UAAACUAGAAAUGUGGCCACUCUCCCC
Molecule: non-coding RNA, 27 nt
Filed under: Mus musculus (house mouse)
Lineage: Eukaryota; Metazoa; Chordata; Mammalia; Rodentia; Muridae
Source: RNAcentral